This 453-nucleotide ribosomal RNA is filed under the name uncultured bacterium. Its description in RNAcentral is "bacterial SSU rRNA". It matches the Rfam family "Bacterial small subunit ribosomal RNA", at positions 1 to 507 of the family's 1533-position model. The record is from RNAcentral.
AGUAGUUUGAUCAUGGCUCAGAACGACGCUGGCGGCAUGCCUAACACAUGCAAGUCGAACGAGACCUUCGGGUCUAGUGGCGCACGGGUGCGUAACGCGUGGGAACCUGCCUUUAGGUUCGGAAUAACUCAGAGAAAUUUGAGCUAAUACCGGAUAAUGUCUUCGGACCAAAGAUUUAUCGCCUUUAGAUGGGCCCGCGUUGGAUUAGCUAGUUGGUGGGGUAAAGGCCUACCAAGGCGACGAUCCAUAGCUGGUCUGAGAGGAUGAUCAGCCACACUGGGACUGAGACACGGCCCAGACUCCUACGGGAGGCAGCAGUGGGGAAUAUUGGACAAUGGGCGAAAGCCUGAUCCAGCAAUGCCGCGUGAGUGAUGAAGGCCUUAGGGUUGUAAAGCUCUUUUACCCGAGAUGAUAAUGACAGUAUCGGGAGAAUAAGCUCCGGCUAACUCCGUG